This 253-nucleotide ribosomal RNA is filed under the name uncultured bacterium. RNAcentral describes it as "partial 16S ribosomal RNA". It matches the Rfam family "Bacterial small subunit ribosomal RNA", at positions 524 to 776 of the family's 1533-position model. The record is from RNAcentral.
UACGAAGGUGGCAAGCGUUGUUCGGAUUUACUGGGCGUACAGGGAGCGUAGGCGGUUGGGUAAGCCCUCCGUGAAAUCUCCGGGCCUAACCCGGAAAGUGCGGAGGGGACUGCUCGGCUAGAGGAUGGGAGAGGAGCGCGGAAUUCCCGGUGUAGCGGUGAAAUGCGUAGAGAUCGGGAGGAAGGCCGGUGGCGAAGGCGGCGACCUGGGACGAUACUGACGCUGAGGUGCGAAAGCGUGGGGAGCAAACAGG